GAUGAACGCUGGCGGCGUGCUUAACACAUGCAAGUCGAACGGGAAACCUUUUAUUGAAGCUUCGGCAGAUUUAGCUGGUUUCUAGUGGCGGACGGGUGAGUAACGCGUGGGUAACCUGCCUUAUACAGGGGGAUAACAACCAGAAAUGGUUGCUAAUACCGCAUAAGCGCACAGGACCGCAUGGUCCGGUGUGAAAAACUCCGGUGGUAUAAGAUGGACCCGCGUUGGAUUAGCUAGUUGGCAGGGUAACGGCCUACCAAGGCGACGAUCCAUAGCCGGCCUGGGAGGGUGAACGGCCACAUUGGGACUGAGACACGGACCAGACUCCUACGGGAGGAAGCAGUGGGGAAUAUUGCACAAUGGGGGAAACCCUGAUGCAGCGACGCCGCGUGAAGGAAGAAGUAUCUCGGUAUGUAAACUUCUAUCAGCAGGGAAGAUAGUGACGGUACCUGACUAAGAAGCCCCGGCUAACUACGUG
Molecule: ribosomal RNA, 478 nt
Filed under: uncultured bacterium
Lineage: Bacteria
Description: partial 16S ribosomal RNA
Rfam family: Bacterial small subunit ribosomal RNA
Source: RNAcentral